RNAcentral lists this ribosomal RNA (440 nucleotides) under uncultured bacterium. RNAcentral describes it as "partial 16S ribosomal RNA". It matches the Rfam family "Bacterial small subunit ribosomal RNA", at positions 338 to 795 of the family's 1533-position model. The record is from RNAcentral.
CCUACGGGUGGCAGCAGUGGGGAAUAUUGCGCAAUGGGGGAAACCCUGAUGCAGCGACGCCGCGUGAGUGAAGAAGUAUUUCGGUAUGUAAAGCUCUAUCAGCAGGGAAGAAAAUGACGGUACCUGAUUAAGAAGCCCCGGCUACCUCCGUGACAGCAUCCGCGGUGAUACGUAGGGGGCAAGCGUUAUCAGGAUUUACGGGGUGUAAAGGGAGCGUAGACGGCAGCACAAGUCUGGAGUGAAAUGCCGGGGCUUAACCCCGGAACUGCUUUGGAGACUGUGAAGCUAGAGCGCAGGAGAGGUAAGUGGAAUUCCUGGUGUAGCGGUGAAAUGCGUAGAUAUUAGGAGGAACACCAGUGGCGAAGGCGGCUUACUGGACUGUAACUGACGUUGAGGCGCGAAAGCGUGGGGAGCAAACAGGAUUAGAUACCCGGGUAGUC